Molecule: long non-coding RNA, 740 nt
Organism: Canis lupus familiaris (dog)
Lineage: Eukaryota; Metazoa; Chordata; Mammalia; Carnivora; Canidae
Exons: 2
Source: RefSeq, a predicted model, not a curated record
UUCUCUCUUCAGAGCAGAGUCCUGGGCCUCCCAUGACAACACUCAGACAGGAAGGCUCUAAGACCAUGAUGAAGCCUGUCCCUGGCUCUGCAUCUGCCCACCUCUGCCAUCCCUGCUGCUGACUCUGCUGCUGGAAUUCCCCAAUGCUACCUCUCAAUGGACAACAAAUGUGGGAAAAUAUGAAAUUAUAAAGCAAGAAAAGAAUCCUUAAUGUUCCAUCUAAACAUAAUCACUGUGAAAAUUUGCAGAGGUUUGCAUGCUAAUGGAACACUGGCCAGAAGUGGUCACUAGGGGUCUCUCUGGGUCAGUGAUGGAAGCUGAACACUGCAGGCUCUCCAACAGAACUUAAGGUUCUGACUCUACUUGCUGAAAAAGCUAAACAAGCAUGUGGAAUCUCUUCCCCAAGGCCAUUGGUUCAUGUUGCAGAGGCUUUGAGUUCCAACUGCCAGAGCAGAUGGCUUGAGAGGUGCACAUCUGAUGGAAGAGGACGCCAAAACCAUUUUCUGAGUAUAAGGAAGGAGGAAGAAAGCUUGGAUAGUUUUUGAACGAGUAAAAUAUAUGAGACAUCUAGACCCCUUGCAAAAUGUUAGUAAACAUUUGCAGAAGAAUUAGUACCAAUUUUAUACAAUCUUCCAGAAAAUAGAAGAGGAUGACACGUUCCUUAUUCAUUUGUUGGGUCUAUUAUUACCUUGAUAGCAAAACCAGAUUUAAUGUACAUUAAAAAGAUAACUACAGACGUA